Molecule: ribosomal RNA, 253 nt
Filed under: uncultured bacterium
Lineage: Bacteria
Description: partial 16S ribosomal RNA
Rfam family: Bacterial small subunit ribosomal RNA
Source: RNAcentral
UACGUAGGGUGCAAGCGUUGUCCGGAAUUAUUGGGCGUAAAGAGCUCGUAGGCGGUCUGUCGCGUCGGCUGUGAAAACCCGAGGCUCAACCUCGGGCCUGCAGUCGAUACGGGCAAACUAGAGUACUGCAGGGGAGACUGGAAUUCCUGGUGUAGCGGUGAAAUGCGCAGAUAUCAGGAGGAACACCGGUGGCGAAGGCGGGUCUCUGGGCAGUAACUGACGCUCAGGCACGAAAGCGUGGGGAGCAAAAGGG